RNAcentral lists this long non-coding RNA (3720 nucleotides) under Homo sapiens (human). Its description in RNAcentral is "HSALNT0290430". The record is from RNAcentral. Lineage: Eukaryota; Metazoa; Chordata; Mammalia; Primates; Hominidae.
CCAAAGGGCGUUGGGGUUAGCACGGAGAAAGGACGUCAGACACGCUCAACAGUCACUCCUAAAGUCCCAGGCGAGCACCAUGGAGAAGACAGAAUUAAAACAAGUGAGGGCAUUUCUGCCACAAAAGGGCAGUUCAGUCCAGAUACCCCCUGCAAGCCAAACUCAACCAACUGGUGGCUCCUGUAUUCCUGGGUUUACUGUCCAGGAAAAGUGGCCCAAACCAAAAAGCACUGGGGCACCAACACGAGGCAGCCGCCUCCGUAUUCAGCCUGAUAAUAACAUGAAAAAGCCAAAAAAGGGAACAAAUACAGAACACUGAAAUGUGUCAUCAUUUCAAAAAUGAAACGACAUGGUCACUUUAACAUUUGUUACAAAAAGAAUGCAUGACAAUCUCAGAAUAAAGGACAGAUGUUUCAAUUGGACAUGUUGGUCUUUAAGAAAACUUUCCUAUUUUCUCAUUCUCUCAUGGACAGGUGAAGACAAGACGGUGUUUCAUCAGCCAGUGUUGCAGAACUCGGCCCCUCUCAGGCUCUGCACGUACCCCAUCCCCCGACAAAGCCUAGCUCUCCCUCUCUUUCUGAUUCAUGGGAACUACCUAGAGUUGCGGAGUCUUCUGACUCCAGAAACCUGUGUCCUGGUGGCCAUCCCAGGAGAAACAACUUUGAUCCUGACCCCAAGAGCUGCUGACCUGGCCACAACUUCUCUGUCAAGGGCCUCACUUAAUGCCUGGAAAUCCCACAAGUGAAAAUGCUCAGGAAAAUUCCAUGGCCCAGUGCCGAGCAGUCUUGAACCGCACAAGCCGUGACUAAGUAACUAUCUAAAACAGCUCUCCCUCCCGCCCCAACACCACCCAGAGUGGGCGUCAACAUCAGCAAUUGUCUAGGGAAAAUAAGCGGGCCCUCUUUUCUAGAAAGAACCCAUUUCAGAAUGUUUGAAGAGAAAAAUCAACACCCACUGUCUGGGGCCACAUUAGACAGAUUCAACUGGGCACGGCUGUCACGCCCUGGCCCAGGAUCUGCUAAGGGGUAGUGAGUUCUCUGCCUACUCCUCCUCUUCUCUGAGGCCUGAGUCUGCACGGGGCUGGCUCCCCGGCUUCUGGGCAGGUGAGAGGGACACUUUGGGGCUCUCCGCCCCCAGUUUCGGCAGCUCUGCCCCGGCUCAGGCACUCCCCUGUGACAUCAGCAUCUUGGGGGGUGAAUCACUGCCGCAGCUCUGAAGCUGCUGUGGCCAUGCAUGGCUGUCGGGCUGUGAUGAGUCCGGAGGAAGCCACGCCCCUCACACCAGCACAGGUCGGCCUUGAAGGGCGCCAAGGCCUCCCACCACGUGAUGUCUGGAAACUUUUCACAAGUGGGGGUAUCUGCUGAGCGGGGGGAAGUGACGCAACAAAUAACGGGGAGCAUGGCAGUGGCAACAGGCAUGAGCCACAGCGCACCAGCCUCCGAGCCACAAGUUCAGCGUUGCUGCUGCUGCCAGAGGCCCAGAAACAGCUGUUCCCUCCCCCUACACAUCCCCGCGCAGGCUUUGGCUCUCUCAAUGACAUUCCUAAAUGGCUGUGGCUAGAGCCCUAAGUGUAAGCACUGGAGAGCCAGGGCCAGCCCCGAAAUCAGGAGGUAAGGCCCUGGGGCAGCUGGCCCCGCACCAAGUGCACCAAGUGGCUGGCAGCAGCACACGGCCACCUGGAGCAAAGCACAGAGGCCUUUCUCUCCUGUCCUCAGUCCCUGGAAGCAGCAGGUUCCUAUCUGUGACCUGAAGGAACGCAAGGGAGAAUCGUGGCUGCGCUGCUCCUAUGCACUGGACAUGGGGAGGCACCAAUGUCCAGCUUGUGGAUCAAGACCUGAAGGGCACAAAGGGCAAGGUGUCAGAGCUGGGAUGCUGUCCUGAUGACCAAAAGCUUAGGUGGACACAGAGCCCUGGGCUCCCUCACGAGGAAUUCACUGGGGAACAAAAAAGUGAGGCACUGAGGACACCUGCAGUGUGAGUCCGGACAGGCACACUGACACAGCGGAACAGACGCGGCAGAACCGACACGGCGGAACGGACGCGGAUGAUGCAGAGCCCCUCUCAGGAUGGCCAGCCAUUCCUCCCCUGCCAGGGCCCACCACGCCUCCCAUGGAGAGACGGUGUCUGUUUCCCUCCUGUCGGAAUCUGGAUGGCCCAGAGACGACUCUGACAUCAGGAUGCUGGGACUGUGCCAAUUCCAGACCUAAACCUAAAGAAGCCUGGAAGAUUCUGCUGUGGCUCCUGGGAAUCCAGUCACCGAGCUGGAGGAAAGUCCAAGCUCCCGUGUGAGUGGGAGACACAUGGAGGGGCUCUGGGGAGAGGGCACAUGGAGAAGAGCAGAGAGGCCACUGACAGCACCAAUGCUCUGUGGCGAGGGACACACUUUCCUGGACCUCCCAGCCCAGCUGUGCGCUGCUGCACGCACGGCCUCAACCAACACCUCGGGGAGCAAGCGACUGCCUGUCCACCCAUCCAACUAAGAAAGACUGACUCACCGAUGACUUAUGCCACUGGGUUUUGGGGUGCUGUGCUGUGCAGCAGGAGAUAACUGAGACGGACGGUAAAACCAGGAAGAAAAGGAAGUGAUUCAGCCAAAGGUUCAGGAUGACGGUUCUCUCUGGAUGGGGGAGGUCCCAAAGCACCACAGACUGCUGAGUAAGCCAGGUUUCUGUUUGGGCCGUGAAAUCCACUCUGGUGCCAAGUUCCAUACUGCUGCCUCCACGACGCAGGGAUUCCAGUGGCGGCUGAGCCCCAUGGAAGCAGCAGAGCCUCCCGGGACAGGCCAAGCAGGACCUGGAUCUGGGUUCCACCAGCCACCCGCAGGUGAUCUCCAGCAAAGCUUCUCCAAUGGCCAACAGGGCUAAUGGUAUGACUUCCUUUGUGACAGGAUUAAAUUAAGUAACAUAGGUCAAGACCCUGUACAGAGCCUGGCAUAUCGUGAGCAUGCAACAAACUACUGUUGCCAGGAAGCAGAGAUGCAGAUGAUAGUUUCAUUUUUUUAGGCCAAAGUCUUUAUCAGAUGGUUUCUAUAUACCCCUUUGCACUGGGCACAUGGGGUACUUGACCUUGUUAAGAGGUGUAAUCAUAACCCAUCACUCCUAAAUGCAAUCUGGAAGAAUUCCAGAGCACAAUUAGCAUGAAGACAGGGAGGAAGUGAUGGGAGGGGCACUGAGUGGAGAGACAUCUAGAGCUAUUGUCUCUGCCAGGAGGCACUUUAUAUUGAACAACUGUUCUGUUAAACCCCAAGAGUGCUCCCAGACAAAGGCUGGAGUGCAUGCCCAGAGUGCUAAGUGGCCCCAGAGAGCACAGCUCCAUGUCAGAGUCAAAUGGGCACCUGUCAAACAUGAAAUGUUACCCAGGUUAUUAGUAUGCACUAAACUACCUGCAGGGUUUCCAAACUGCCACAAAGGGAAGCCAUUAAGCCAGGAAGCAACUGGCCUACCAUAGGGAGACACUGAUCUUUACAAACAACAGUCCCCGGCUCCCAGAACAAGCUGCUCCCAGCUCUGAGCCUUGACAUGAGCCAUCUUGUGUCCAGGUGCUUGAGGAACCUAAGGGCAGGUGAGAAGGAUCACCAUUUGGCUUCCAGUUGCUCAGCAUUCUUGAUUUUCUAGAAAUACAGGUGGAUCAACAUAAACUUCCAAAGGAGCCAGGCACGGUGGCUCACACCUGUAAUCCCAGCACUUUAGGAGGCCGAGGCAGGACUGUGGGAGGUCUGAG